This is a long non-coding RNA of Ornithorhynchus anatinus (platypus), 574 nucleotides long. RefSeq lists it as uncharacterized. NCBI's taxonomy places the organism in Eukaryota, Metazoa, Chordata, Mammalia, Monotremata, Ornithorhynchidae. The record is from RefSeq and is a predicted model, not a curated record. The transcript has 2 exons.
CCCGCCUGUUCACCAGCCCAUGAACUUCUGAGAUGUCCUUUCCAGCCAGUCCAGAACCAAGACCUCUACAAGUUGCUGUUGCCGCUGCUGAAGUAACCCAGAUGGAGAUCUAACAGCUCACCUCUACUGCCAGAGACCGGCUGACCUUGACCCAAAGCCAUGAGGGGACCGACUGAAAGCUGGCAAUCCCAGUAUGGCAGAAGGAUUGAAUGAGGCAGCCAUGAGGCAGCCUCUCAGCUCACAGAGGCUUCUCGGAAGCCUCUCGCCUGGCGUCCGGGAGACAGAAGAUAUUUCUGAUGCUCCUUCUUCCCCAGACAGCUCGGAUCCCCUCUGUGAGGAGCCUUCAGCCUCCAACCUCAUGUAUUUAUCCCGACGGUCGGCCGGUCUGAUGAGAAACAUGACCGGGGCAAACCAGGGCCUGGCUUUGGGGUUGGAUUCAGAGGGGCGAGAAGGGAGGUGGUCUGGGAGGCGAGAUUUCUCUCCCUCUCUCCCAGGCCUUUGACACGCAUAGCUUUGAACCGCUUUUGUCGCCAUCGUUUAUUCAUCCUCUAAUAAAUCCUGCCUUUUCUGCCGG